CCAAAACCAAAAAUUUAGAAUAUGACCUUGACCUUUGACCUUGACCUCAAUUUCAAGGUCACAAACUGAGGAUCUCAAAUCAAAAGACCCUAGGUCUCUAAUUUGUAUGGUAAAUAAGUUUUAUCACUUUACGCAUAAUUUUAGAUAUGAUAGGGGCUAAAACUCAUAUUUAUUGUCUACGCACCCUUUCAACCAAAAUAAUUAUGUUACGACAUGUUGCAACUAACAAUUUAGUAAAAAUAAUUUGUCGAUAUCUUAUAAGGUUAAUGAAAAUGAGUGAAAAUAAGCCAAAAUCAAAAAUUUAGAAUAUGACCUUGACCUUUGACCUUGACCUCAAUUUCAAGGUCACAAACUGAGGAUCUCAAAUCAAAAGACCCUAGGUCUCUAAUAUGUAUGGUAAAUAAGUUAUAUCACUUAACGCAUAAUUUUAGAUAUGAUAGGUCUAAAACUCCCAUUUAUUGUCUACGCACCCUUUCAACCAAAAUUAUUAUGUUACGACAUGUCGCAAC
RNAcentral lists this long non-coding RNA (509 nucleotides) under Mytilus galloprovincialis (Mediterranean mussel). Lineage: Eukaryota; Metazoa; Mollusca; Bivalvia; Mytilida; Mytilidae. The record is from RNAcentral.